AUUGAACGCUGGCGGCAUGCCUUACACAUGCAAGUCGAACGGCAGCACGGGAGCAAUCCUGGUGGCGAGUGGCGAACGGGUGAGUAAUAUAUCGGAACGUGCCCAGUCGUGGGGGAUAACGCAGCGAAAGUUGUGCUAAUACCGCAUACGAUCUAUGGAUGAAAGCGGGGGAUCGCAAGACCUCGCGCGAUUGGAGCGGCCGAUAUCAGAUUAGGUUGUUGGUGAGGUAAAAGCUCACCAAGCCUGCGAUCUGUAGCUGGUCUGAGAGGACGACCAGCCACACUGGAACUGAGACACGGUCCAGACUCCUACGGGAGGCAGCAGUGGGGAAUUUUGGACAAUGGGCGCAAGCCUGAUCCAGCAAUGCCGCGUGCAGGAUGAAGGCCUUCGGGUUGUAAACUGCUUUUGUACGGUAACGAAACGGUAGAGCUCUAAUAAAGACUUGCUAAUGACGGUACCGUAAGAAUAAGCACCGGCUAA
Molecule: ribosomal RNA, 480 nt
Filed under: uncultured bacterium
Lineage: Bacteria
Description: bacterial SSU rRNA
Rfam family: Bacterial small subunit ribosomal RNA
Source: RNAcentral